This is a non-coding RNA of Pelobates cultripes (western spadefoot toad), 5915 nucleotides long. The record is from the annotation of a GenBank genome assembly. NCBI's taxonomy places the organism in Eukaryota, Metazoa, Chordata, Amphibia, Anura, Pelobatidae.
AUGCCUUAUUACGAACUUUGAAAGCCAUUUGCCUAUUUUGGACUCUGCUUCUUAUAUUUUCUUAUUUUUAUAUACAAGAGCAGUCCCCAUGUUUUUACAUAUUGCUUUUUAGUUAUGUAAUAAAAUACUUUAACUUUUUACAUUUUUGUAACUCAAGCUCAGAGAUUUCAAGUACCACAAGAAGAAGGACAGGGAAGUCCUAUGCAAUAAUCCCACAGCACCAUUCAUGGGAGCCAUAUGAUUAUAUUUGGCUCCAGGCUUGUCAGUACAAGACCUAGUCAUCCUUCAGUUUGAUUUUAUUUAAACUGUAUUACACUAUAUAGUUUUAUGUUUCUAUUUUAGGUGUAUUUUAGAAGUGUGAUCCACCAUUGUAUGUAUUCGAUAUUUGUUAUUUCUAGAGUGGUUUGAGGGGUUCCACUUCCACUUUAUUCACUGUUAUUGCUCUAUACUCAUUUAUUUGACACAGUUGUUCACGGUUUUUCACUUAGACACCGGCACUUUUAGUUUCACUUGUCUAGCUUUGGUUUCACUUAGGAUGCUUUCCUAAAGGUGUAGAAACAAACUAAGUCCCUUUAUUAUCCUUCAUUUCGGAAGGUAAAUUCUAUGUUUUUUCAGCUCACUCUAUUUAUAGUUUAUAGCAACAGUCUCUUAGUUACCACAUUGCUUACCGCGGUGACGCAGUGUGCUUAAGUCACAUGCGGUUUUCCUGCACUUCCGGGUUUACAAUUCUGUUUGGGAGAUUCACUUCACGUCUACUGGUAAGUAUUUUUACCCUUCUCUAUAUAUUUACACUGUUGGAAGGUAUUAACCCCUUAAGGACUGGACUGUUUUUGCGAUGUUGUACAUUUGCGACCAGGCAUAUUUUUACACUUUUGUGGUGUUUGUGUUUGGCUGGAAUUUUCCGCUCUCUCAUUUACUGUUCCCAUACAAAUUAUAUAUUGUUUUUUCAGGACAAAAGGGGCUUUCUUUACAUACCAUUAUUUAUAUAAUCUCAUGUAUUUUAAUUUAAAAAAAAUAAAAAAAUAUAAUGAAAAAUUGAAAAAAAUACAUGUUUUUUUACUUUUACUUGAAAAAUCUUUUACUCAUCUACAAAAGCGAAUUUAAAAAACUGCUAAAUAGAUUCAAAAUUCUGUCCUGAGUUUAAAAAUACCCCGUGUUUACAUGCUUUUUUGCUUUUUUUUGCAUGUUAUAGGGCUAUAGGUACAAGUAGAAUAUUGCGGUUUCAAAACAUAAAUUUUUAAAAUUUAUCAAUAGUGACAUUGUAACACUAUUAUCUGUCAUAAAUCUCUGAAUAACACCCCACAUGUACAUAUUUUUUUUAAAGUAGACAACCCAGGGUAUUCAAUAUGGGUAUGUCCAGUCUUUUUUAGUAGCCACUUAGUCGAAAACACUGGCCAAAGUAAGCAUUCAUAUUUGUUUGUGUGUGAAAAAAGUAAAAAAACUAAAUUGAACGCUAAUUUUGGUCAGUGUUUGUGACCAAGUGGUUACUAAAAAAGACUGGACAUACCCCAUUUGCAAUACCUUGGGUUGUCUUCUUUUGCAAAUGGUAUGCUAUCAUGGGGGUAAUUCUCAUUCCUGGGCUACCAUACGCUCUCAAAGGCAACGUAACCAACCUGGCCAUUUUCAAUGUAAAAAUAUUUGACCCAUAUAUUUGACCUUGUAACGUUCAAAAAUGCUAUAAAACCUGUACAUGGGGGGUACUGUUUUACUCAGGAGACUUCGCUGAAACAAAUUAUUAGUGUUUAAAAACUGGAAAACGUAUCACAACAAUUAUAUCAUCAGUAAAAGUGCUGUUUGUGUGUGAAAAAUGCAAAAAAGUCACUUUCACUGACAAUAUCAUUGCUGUGAUAUGUUUUACUGUUUUGAAUCACUAAUAUUUGUGUUCAGCGAAGUCUCCCGAGUAAAACAGUACCACCCAUGUACAGGUUUUAGGGUGUCGUAGAACGUUACAGGGUAAAAUACAGUGCUAACAAAUUCAAUUCUCUGGAAUUUCGGCCUGGGUUGGCAGGCAGGUCCCUCAAAUUGCAAUCAAUAAAAUUACUGAAUUAUGUAAAAUAUUACAUAAAUACGCACGUAGAAUUUAAAUAUAUAUGCAUAUUUAUAUAUUUGAAGUCUACGUGUAUAUUUAUAUAAUUAUUUAUGUAAUUUUGUAUAUGGACAUAUGUAUAUUUCUUAUUAUUUUUAUUUAUUUUAUAUACAUAGAUAUAUAUACAAAUUCAUUCUAAGUGUAUUUUGAUAUAAAUAUAUAUAUAUUAAUUUUAAAAUACAGUUAGAAUAAAAUUUCAUAUAGAUAUAUAAUUUUUAUUUUUUUUUAUUAUUAUUUUAAAUUUUUUUUAUUUAAUUUAAAUUACUUAUUAUUUAUAUUUUAUAAUAAUAUAUAUAUACAAUAUAUAUAGUUAUUAUAUAUAUGAUAUAUAUACGUGUGUAAUUUAAUUAUAAGUGUAUUUUUAUAUUAAUAUAAGUACAUAUUAAUAAAAAAAUACACUUGGUAUGACAUUAUAUAUAUGAUAUAUAGACAUAUAUUAGACAAUAUAAUAUAUGUCUAUAUAUCAUAUAUAUAUACACAUAUAUAAUUUUUAUUUUUUUUAUUAACACUAACUUUAUUUUUUUUAAUUUUUUUACACUAGCAGGGAGACUGCCUGUCAGCACAGGCAGUCCCCCUGCUGGCAGACACAUGGACACCUAUUGUGACCAUGUGAUCGCUGUGUUAAGCGAUCACAUGGCCACAGGGGUCCUAAUCCAGUGUGGGGAGACUGUCUGGGCUGCAGGCAGUCUCCCCACAACCGGAGCCACGCUGAUCGCCGCCGGGGGAACGACAGCGAUCAGGUAAGUACCCCCAGACCGUUAGGACGGUUCAGGACCGUCAUCGGUCCUCAAGGCAAAAAUGCCGAUGACGGUCCUGAACCGUCCUCGGUCGCUAAGGGGUUAAUUCUGAUCUUGAGAAAGACCUGUAGAGGUCGAAAUGUUAAUCAACAUUUUCUUUGCACAAUAAACCAGUUAUUUUUUAAGUCCAGGAGUACACCUUUAUUGAUUCUUUCUUUUUAAACUUUUUUUUUUUUCUGUGUUUUGUUCCCCCCCCUUUUUUUGUGCUGCUGCUUGAUUGAUUGGGGGAGUGUUCAUUAAUUGCACCUGUGUGGGAUUUGUAUCCCCAUAAAGGCACACCCCUAACUCACUGAGCUUGCUCACAUUAUUUGAAAGCAGCCUCUAUUAAGUAGACUCUUUCAAGUAGGGGUUAGAAAACCAGGAGUUGAAACUAACAAGGUAAUUGUUUUAAUUUUCUGUUUCUGGGGAAAUGAGUGUUAGCAGGACUGCUGGUUUGACUCAAUGCACAUCUUGUUGCAUGUAUGGAUGCCUGGAUGUACCCGUCCAGGGUCCGUACCUCUGUGAUGGUUGUGUGCGAGUGGCUUCUCUGGAAGCUCAGAUUGGAGAUCUAGAGAAGCAAAUCGCAACUUUGAGGGAGAUUGACAAUCUUGAGAGGAGUCUACUGCUCACUGAGCAGAGUUUAGUGGGGACAGGUAGUGGAGAGGGAGGAGAUAAGACAGAAGGAGAACAGGCAUGUAGCUUGGUGACAGUGGGGCGAGGAAGCGGGGGGGAGGGAAGAGGAAAGGGCUAGCUAGUCCUGAUUUGGUGCAACCUAGCAGAUUUGCCCGGAGUAGCUGUAUUAGAGGAAGCUGUUACUUCUAACAGCCCCCCUAGUACGGGUGGGGAUCAAAAUGUAAGGAAGGCAAGACAGGUUGUGGUGGUAGGGGACUCUAUCAUUAGGAGAACAGAUAGGGCAAUCUGCCACUCUGAUCGGCUCAACCGGACAGUUUGCUGUCUACCAGGUGCUCGGGUCCGGCAUGUUGCUGACAGAGUGGAUGGAUUAUUGGGAGGGGCUGGGGAUGAUCCAGCGGUCAUGGUCCAUGUUGGUACCAAUGACAAAGUAAGAGGAAGAUGGAAGGUCCUAAAGAAUGAUUUCAGGGAAUUAGGUAGCAAACUUAAGAUAAGGACCUCCAAGGUGGUAUUCUCUGAGAUAUUACCUGUGCCACGCGCUACAGUGGAAAGGCAGCGGGAGAUUAGAGAGGUCAAUGCAUGGCUUAAGUCUUGGUGCAGGAAGGAGGGUUUUGGGUUUUAGAGCACUGGGCCGACUUUGCGAUUGGGUACAACCUUUAUAGUGGUGAUGGAUUGCACCUAAACGGGAGAGGGUCUGCAGUGCUGGGGGAUAGGAUGGCUAGAAGGUUGGAGGAGAUUUUAAACCAGUAGUAGGGGGGAAGGGUCAUAGCAAUCUACAAAAUGGAGAUAGGACAGAAAGGAGAUGGGCUUUAGCACAGUAUAAGGGGGGAGGGGCAAGCUCAGAACAGAGAAGCUGUGUAAUGGUGAAAAUUCACAAAAUAUACAAGUGACGCAUAAUAUUAAAUGUAUGCUUACUAAUGCAAGGAGCCUAAGUAACAAAAUGGGGGAACUAGAGGCAUAAGCAUACACUAAACAAUAUGAUACAAUAGGCAUAACUGAAACAUGGUGGGAUGAGACACAUGACUGGGCAGUUAACUUAAAUGGGUACAUGUUAUUUAGGAAGGAUAGGAAAAACAAUAAGGGUGGUGGGGUAUGUUUGUAUGUCAAACAUGAUUUAAAGCCAAAUGUUAAGCAAAUGGAAUGCGAGGAGGAUAAUGUGGAAGCUUUAUGGGUAAAUAUCUGCUUGGGGGAAAAGAAGGGAAACCAACUAUUGGUUGGGAUAUGUUAUAAACCACCUAAUGUUAAUAUUGACGAGGAACAACAGCUGUUUGAGCAAAUUGAGAAAGCUGCAAAUCUGGGUAACACUUUAAUUAUUGGAGAUUUUAAUUACCCAGAUAUAAAUUGGGACAAAGGGACUAGUGCCUCAGCAAAGGGAAUUAGGUUUUUAAAUUUGUUAAAUGACCCCCUUAUGUCACAACUUGUACAAACACCAACUAGAAUGGAUGCUUGUCUGGACCUGGUUUUAACAAACAACGUUGAUUUUUUGACCAACAUUCAAGUAGGUGAGCACUUGGGAAAUAGUGAUCACAAUAUAGUGUCCUUUGAAAUAAACUCAAAAAAACCAAAAGCACAUGGGGAAUACUAAAACAUAUAAUUUUAAAAAGGCCAAUUUCAAUAAGUUAAGGGAAGCUUUACAAUAUAUUGACUGGCAUAAACUCUUUAGUGAAAAGAACACUGAGAAUAAAUGGAUCAUCUUCCAACAAAUAUUAAAAAGGUACAUUUCUCAGUAUGUACCGUUGGGAAAUAAAUAUAAAAGAAACAAAUUAAAACCAAUGUGGCUUAGUAGAGAAGUAAAACAAGAGAUUACAACUAAGAAAAGGGCAUUUAAAACCUUUAAAUCGGACAAAUCAGAUGCAUCUUAUAAAAGAUAUAAGGAUGCAAAUAAUGCGUGCAAAAAGGCAAUUAGACUUGCUAAACUUCAAAAUGAAAUAAUAGCUGAAGAGAGCAAAACCAACUCCAAAGCAUUUUUUUUAAGUACAUAAAUUCUAAAAAAAACAAAAAUAAAAGUGUAGGUACACUAAAAACUGAAACGGGGGUGUUAGUUAAUGAAGACCAGGAAAAGGCAGGAAUUUUAAAUAACUAUUUCUCCUCCGUAUAUAUUAAGGAAGAACCCAUGGCAAUAGAUGUGCAAAUGAUUACUACUAAAAACUUGCAGAUUAAUUGUAAUUGGUUAACUCAAGACAAGGUGCUGCAGCAUCUAAAGAAAGUUAAUAUAAACAAAGCUCCAGGGCCUGACUGUAUCCAUCCACGUGUACUUAAGGAACUAAGUGUAGAAAUAAGUGAACCUCUGUUUUUAAUCUUUCAAGAUUCUUUUCUUUCAGGAAGUGUUCCGGAGGAUUGGAGGAAGGCAGAUGUGGUUCCUAUAUUCAAAAAGGGUUCAAAAUCCUUGCCUGGAAAUUAUAGACCUGUGAGCUUAACUUCUG